UGACGGAAUGACACCACCAGGCGUGGGGUGUGCGGCUUAAUUUGACUCAACGCGGGAAAGUUUAUCAGGUCCGGAUGCUGGUUGGAUUGACAGUGUGACGGUGCUUUCAUGAUUCAGCAAAUGGUGGUGCAUGGCCGCUCCUAGUUGGUGAGGUGACUUGUCUGCCUGAUUGCGAUAACGAACGAGAUCUUUAUGGCUUAAUAGAUUGUGGCCUCGUUCAGGAGGUCUCAUUGCGGGACCUCUGAGGGACCAUUCAACUUCUUUGCUGGGCUGUGUGCGAUAUCAAGUACAAUUAAAAGAGGCGAUAGCAGGUCUGUGAUGCUCCUCGACGUUCUGGGCUGCACGCGUACAACACUGAAACAGGAAGCGCGCCAGCCUUCAAUUGAAACCUGCUCUGAGGAGAGUGGGAAAUCGUAAAACUGAGUCGUGAUGGGGACAGCCUUAUUGCAAAUCUUACGCUCGAACGAGGAAUGCCUCGUAAAGGUCGCUCAUCAGACAGCCUUGAUUAUGUCCCUGCCAUUUGUACACACCGCCCGUCGUUGCUACCGAUGAUUUGAAUGUAGAGGCGGAGAGAAACUGGCUGUAACAUCCUGUUGAGUACUAUAUUGAAUUCCACCAAUACGUCCCCGUUAGAGGAAGCAAAAGUCGUAACAAGGUUGCUGUAGGUGAACCUGCAGAAGGAUCAACGG
This 689-nucleotide ribosomal RNA is filed under the name Hemiolia trepidum. RNAcentral describes it as "SSU rRNA". It matches the Rfam family "Eukaryotic small subunit ribosomal RNA", at positions 1154 to 1831 of the family's 1831-position model. The record is from RNAcentral. Lineage: Eukaryota; Euglenozoa.